Molecule: transfer-messenger RNA, 427 nt
Filed under: bacterium
Lineage: Bacteria
Also listed under: 1 other name
Description: JAHJBW01 sp018813405 Standard tmRNA
Rfam family: transfer-messenger RNA
About the family: Bacterial tmRNA, also known as 10Sa RNA or SsrA, is named for its dual tRNA and mRNA-like properties. Its role is to liberate the mRNA from a stalled ribosome.
Source: RNAcentral
GGGGCUGUAAGGGCUUUGACGGGGAGAUGUGAGGCGUAAGUUGCGAGCCGAGGAUGUCAUCUCAACCUCGUAAAAUAUUGGUGGCAAAACUUUAAAUGCAGAUUCUUAUGAAUCGCUGUGUGCCAGAGUGGAUUGGAAAUUUGCCGAGAAAUUGGUAAAUGCUUUCGUCCCUCAGCACGCACUUGCCUCUUAAUUUAAGCAGGCAGCACUAGCCGGUCUUGCCGAUAGGGCCGGGGCCUGGUGUUAUUUUAUCGGAUACCAUAUCGAUCAUUCCCUUCGGUCGGUUUGGAAAAACAAAGAUAGGGGUAGCCUUUGGAAGUCCUGGCUUCGGGACAACCCAAAGGUGAAAUUUUAACAGAAGCUACGCUCGUAGUGACUUGCGCGGCGCCCUUUCCGGACGCGGGUUCGACUCCCGCCAGCUCCAUUC